GCGGCGGACGGGUGAGUAACACGUGGGUAACCUGCCCAAGAGACUGGGAUAACACCUGGAAACAGAUGCUAAUACCGGAUAACAACACUAGACGCAUGUCUAGAGUUUGAAAGAUGGUUCUGCUAUCACUCUUGGAUGGACCUGCGGUGCAUUAGCUAGUUGGUAAGGUAACGGCUUACCAAGGCAAUGAUGCAUAGCCGAGUUGAGAGACUGAUCGGCCACAUUGGGACUGAGACACGGCCCAAACUCCUACGGGAGGCAGCAGUAGGGAAUCUUCCACAAUGGACGAAAGUCUGAUGGAGCAACGCCGCGUGAGUGAAGAAGGGUUUCGGCUCGUAAAGCUCUGUUGGUAGUGAAGAAAGAUAGAGGUAGUAACUGGCCUUUAUUUGACGGUAAUUACUUAGAAAGUCACGGCUAACUACGUGCCAGCAGCCGCGGUAAUACGUAGGUGGCAAGCGUUGUCCGGAUUUAUUGGGCGUAAAGCGAGUGCAGGCGGUUCAAUAAGUCUGAUGUGAAAGCCUUCGGCUCAACCGGAGAAUUGCAUCAGAAACUGUUGAACUUGAGUGCAGAAGAGGAGAGUGGAACUCCAUGUGUAGCGGUGGAAUGCGUAGAUAUAUGGAAGAACACCAGUGGCGAAGGCGGCUCUCUGGUCUGCAACUGACGCUGAGGCUCGAAAGCAUGGGUAGCGAACAGGAUUAGAUACCCUGGUAGUCCAUGCCGUAAACGAUGAGUGCUA
RNAcentral lists this ribosomal RNA (736 nucleotides) under uncultured bacterium. RNAcentral describes it as "bacterial SSU rRNA". It matches the Rfam family "Bacterial small subunit ribosomal RNA", at positions 95 to 818 of the family's 1533-position model. The record is from RNAcentral.